Molecule: long non-coding RNA, 533 nt
Filed under: Gossypium barbadense (sea-island cotton)
Lineage: Eukaryota; Viridiplantae; Streptophyta; Magnoliopsida; Malvales; Malvaceae
Description: long non-coding RNA (GBAR_LNC020175)
Source: RNAcentral
GAGAAACAGUGAAGGGUUCUUGUUCUUCACAGGUGAGCAUAUCAUGAGGACCAGCUUCUUCUCGGCCAACUCCCAAAAGGUCAAGGUAAUAAAGGUAAUGAGAGAUCAUAUUGUUCAUGGAAUCACUAUCACCUUGACCACAAACUUGGUCACCAUAAAGAACAUUCAUGGUGGUUCCAAAACCUGGAACCCUCUUGGCCAAGGUGUCGUUCUUGGUUGGUUUCCAGUUGCCAACGAAAACGUCAUGGGCUGAGGGUUGGUGUUUCUUCACCGGCGUCAUCCACCUCCACAUUGCUGUCUGGAAAGCCAAGGUUGCGUUGUCUUCUAAGUAUUCUGGGUGGUUCAACAAGUCCACCUUCAAAGCCUCUCCAGCUUCCCCAUAGUUGUAGUUCCAGUAGAUAGGCAAGGCACCACGGCCAUGAUAUGAGACUCCUGGUGUGCAAGGAUAGGUGUAUUUGUAGUAAUCAUCGCAAUAUAUUUUGCUAGGGCUCAUUUCUUUGUUGUAGCAAAGACCCCAAGCCAAUGGUCCCCCG